GAAAAUGUGCUUUGAUAAAGGCAGUUGGUGUCUUAUUAAAGAAAACUAGUGAAUUAAAGAGUUUUGGACCAUGAAUGGAGAAGCUUACUGAAAAUAAGGCCUUUCAAGUGAAGGAGAGUAAGGAAAGAAGUUGGGGUAUUCCAAGACGUGAAGAAUCCUGUCUUUUGUGUGGAAUUCAAGAUAUUGAUCAACUAUUCCCACAAGAAGAAGCAUUUGCCUCCAGGGUACCAUGGACGUGUGGCAAUAUAAAUCCAAAGGACAACUGAGGCCUAGUUAAAAAAAGCCACAUACCUGCACAUUCAGUCUUAGACUACAUUGUUUGCUAACAAUAGGACUCAAACUGAUUUACAUACUAAGGAAAAACUCUGCUAGGGAAAUUAAUCUUAGGUGUCAUAUCAAUUAAA
Molecule: long non-coding RNA, 404 nt
Organism: Saccostrea cuccullata (small rock oyster)
Lineage: Eukaryota; Metazoa; Mollusca; Bivalvia; Ostreida; Ostreidae
Exons: 3
Source: RefSeq, a predicted model, not a curated record